Non-coding RNA from Megalopta genalis, 2207 nucleotides. The record is from RefSeq and is a predicted model, not a curated record. NCBI's taxonomy places the organism in Eukaryota, Metazoa, Arthropoda, Insecta, Hymenoptera, Halictidae.
GAAGCGGCAGUGCAAUCGCGGGAACGAUCGAGGGAUCAACGCGUUCUCCGGCGAGCCACCGAUAAACCUUUCCUAAUCGAACGGUUUCCAAUUGAAUCGGCCCGGAUCGAUGCCGAGCGGGCUCGCGGCGCGCAAAACCGCUUUCAAUCGGCGGCGGCGGCUUAAAUAUGUCCGAUUAUACGUUCCCGUGGAUGCGUCACGGCCCAUUGAAAAUAAGGCUGCGUCCCAACGGCGACGCCCGGCGUCCCGCAAAAAUACGAUCCGCGUGUGUUCGGCCGACGCGGAACGGUGCGAGCGCGUCGCCCAUUAAUCCGUCGAUUCUCGUUCCCUGCUCAAAGAGCUUCCAUAAAUCCCGACGCCGGGCGUCGCGCGUUGGUCGAUAACCAUUAAGAAUGGAACGGAAUCCUUCGAAAAAUGACUUCGCGAGCCGAAAGUAGCCGUGCAACUUGAUCAAUAAAUCCAGUUAAUUUCAGUCUGCUAAUAAUAAAUCGGUCUGCUGAUAAGCAGAUCGCUGAUCUUUGCGCGAAAUAAAACUUCUCUUCGUCAGUUGCGACGGAGAUCAGCGAGUAAGAUUUUCGUUCUUUAUUUAAUAAUUUCAGUGAGCUGAUGAUGAUUUUUUCUUAGCAUUAUCGUUGUUUGAAAUGUUCCGUUUUCAUUGGAAAUGCAUAAAAUCCGCUGUCUAUUUAUUGGUGUCUAAUAAUUGUUGAUAUAGUAAUUGAAACCAUCGAGCUGAGACAACGAAACGAUCAUGUUCAACGUCGUUUACAAAACUAACAAUGUGGCUUUCGUUGUUAUUAUAAUAACCAGGUUAUAAUAAUUACAUUAAUUCAGGUAACAGGUUCGUGGUCUCGAUUAACGCGUAAUUUUAGUAUUGGUACGUGUGGAAUUGUUUAGAAUCCGAUGGAACGAGGUGUUGCAACGACAAAAACAUAAUAAGCGAAAUUUAUGAUUAGAUUGCGGAUUUUAUGCGUUUAUAGCGGAAAUGGUUGGAUAACAUGCAAAAUUGUGAAGAUGUUAGAAGAAUUUAGAAAUAUUCUUACACUAUCGUCAGUAUGUAAAUGAAACUAUUAGAAGAAAUACGUUUUCAUUUUUUUCUCAAUUUUUGUUUCAUGCAAUCGAGGAAGUCGAUCUUUAUUUUUCACAAAGAACCACAGUCUACUUACGACGAAUGCCGGAUAACCGGUGAAUCGGUAAACAAGUUUAACCGAAAGUCGACCACUUCUAACGCGGGACAAUAAUUAAAGGGGAAAACCGAAAGUGAAGCGGCACGCGGCCCGUUUCCGUCUCCGUUUUACUUUAUUGGCACUGAUUACCUCUCCCCGAAGAGGUAGGAUGGGGACUGCGAGAUUGCGCGAGGAUGAACGACGAGCCGGUGUGGUGGCGAGUGAAAUUGUGCCGCGCGGAACGGAACGGAACAGAGAGAAGCAGCGCGAAGCGGAGCGAAGCAGAGCGACGCGAGCUGGCGAACCGGCAGGGACGCGCGCGGAAAAUUGAAUAAAGGGGAUGGGGAUGGAAAAAAAGGCGAGAGCGACGCGCCGCGCCGUGGAACCGGAGGCACGAGAGGCGAAAUAAAGAACGGGGUAAGCCAAGAGGACAAGAAAAUCGAUAGAGUAUACGCGGACCGUCGAGCCUUGAGACGCGGAGCGGGGACGUCGCGCGCUCGAGCACUCUUGAAACGUCUUGUUUCUGCGUUGCGGGGAUCCGCCGCGCGGAUUUCGAUGGCCACGACGAUGGAUUCCACGGAUUCGGGUAACGAUGGCCGAGAGACAAUGUUUGCGAUAUUUUGUGCCGAUGAGUCGUCGAAAGUGGAUGGAUUCUUGAUGGAUUUAUCGUGGCCAGAGACUGUUUGUUGCGGGGUGGAGCUGCGAGUAGGUGUGGCUUCGAGUUAGACAUGUUGGGACAAACUCGGGACAACGUAUCGGAGAUACUUGGUCGAAAUAGACUGUGCCAACGAUGCUAAUAAAUUCACCGUUGUUUUCGUAACAACUUAUAUGUAUUCCGCUCCUCCAUUUUUAAUUUUUUUGCUACCUGCACCGUCACAAUCUCGCAUCUAGAUUUUAGGAUAUACUUCGAAACGUUUCACGCGACGAGCGAGACUUAUUUUUCUUAUUGUUAUUAAAUAAUACUGAUCAAAAAUCAGUACAUAUCAUUCUUGUCUAAUCAUUGUAACGGUACACACAAUAUACAUUUUUCUAACAUUUUCUAAA